Molecule: ribosomal RNA, 366 nt
Filed under: uncultured bacterium
Lineage: Bacteria
Description: bacterial SSU rRNA
Rfam family: Bacterial small subunit ribosomal RNA
Source: RNAcentral
GGUGCAAGCGUUAAUCGGAAUUACUGGGCGUAAAGCGCACGCAGGCGGUUGGAUAAGUUAGAUGUGAAAGCCCCGGGCUCAACCUGGGAAUUGCAUUUAAAACUGUCCAGCUAGAGUCUUGUAGAGGGGGGUAGAAUUCCAGGUGUAGCGGUGAAAUGCGUAGAGAUCUGGAGGAAUACCGGUGGCGAAGGCGGCCCCCUGGACAAAGACUGACGCUCAGGUGCGAAAGCGUGGGGAGCAAACAGGAUUAGAUACCCUGGUAGUCCACGCCGUAAACGAUGUCGAUUUGGAGGCUGUGUCCUUGAGACGUGGCUUCCGGAGCUAACGCGUUAAAUCGACCGCCUGGGGAGUACGGCCGCAAGGUUA